Molecule: ribosomal RNA, 139 nt
Filed under: Triticum aestivum (bread wheat)
Lineage: Eukaryota; Viridiplantae; Streptophyta; Magnoliopsida; Poales; Poaceae
Description: partial small subunit ribosomal RNA
Source: RNAcentral
AUGUGGCAUCUGCUGUUGCUAGAGCAAGCUCAAACGUCUUGCGUUUCUCUAGCAUGCCUACCCCUGGAGCAUCACUGUCGAAUGCAAAAGAUUUGCGGCUCAGGUACAUGUCCUGGAGCUGCUUCUCAUCUGUCCAUGA